Molecule: unclassified non-coding RNA, 750 nt
Filed under: Hevea brasiliensis (rubber tree)
Lineage: Eukaryota; Viridiplantae; Streptophyta; Magnoliopsida; Malpighiales; Euphorbiaceae
Source: RNAcentral
AUGACUAUCACAAAGGGGCAGCCUGAUGCACUAAAGCUCCCGCUAUGUGUUAGGGUCCGGGGAAGGGCUGGACCACAUGAGUCUAUCAUACACACGAGAAACGAAGCUGAACUCUUACUUUGGCUUUCUGGAAAGGAUAACCUAUCUAACUACCCUUUAGGACUGAUCAUGACAGCUCCGUUAUCACCCGUUCACAUUUUUCUUCUAAAAUCUUUACAGCUUCUGUAAACAGCACCUCAGGUGGCAAAGCUCCAGUUGAUUCUAUGGUAAAGAUGAAAUGAUCAUUUACACGUCUCAGUGCUACAUUCUUGUCCCAACCUUCCUCUCUGAUGCAUUCCCUACAGAGAGUGCAAGCCCUUGGUCGAGCAACAGUUGCCCUCUUUUUACCUUUACCAAUAUCUUCGAUGUCAAACACCUUAAGCGGACACUUCUUCACAAGUGCUUCUGCUUCAUCAUCUUCAAUAUCCCGCAAUAAUAAAACCUCGGGAAGCAUCCUGUACCACGCCGUAGCCACAGGAGACCACUUUGCAUGUGUCUUACCCAUUCCUUUAACAGCAUGAGCUUCUAGCUCGAUUUCCUGACCCGGUCCAAGUUUGGCUACAAUAAUAUCUGCAUCUUUUGGGGCAAUUGGUUCGUCCGAGAAUUCUGGUCGAGUAUCCUGACUACAGCUGAAUGAAGUAUAAGUUUUUGGUUUCGCUAUCGAACUUGAUGCUGAAUGUUCUGUUCCUAGUAUCAAUUCACUGCCAUUUG